Molecule: long non-coding RNA, 793 nt
Filed under: Homo sapiens (human)
Lineage: Eukaryota; Metazoa; Chordata; Mammalia; Primates; Hominidae
Description: HSALNT0320608
Source: RNAcentral
CUUGCUCUCAUGGAGCUCAUACUCCAGUGAGGGAGGCAAUAAGCAAGUAACCAAGCAGGUCCAGUUCUCCAGGAAACAGACUGUAAGAUGGAGAUCUGCAUUCAGAAACUUUGUAGAGAAGUGCUUAAAGAACCACAGCUGUGAAGGAUAAGAGAAACAGGCCUGAGCAGAAGGAGAAGUUGCACUUGAUUGCAACAGAAGCUUCAGCCAACUCCACAAGGAACUACCAAGCCGGGAUGACCCUUCAGUAAUGCCUACGAUGAGUCCUGGCAGUGCCAACUUGAUUAGAGAAGGGUUGUAACCUUGGGCUAAGCAGCUGCCUUCAAGCAAGGGCAACUUCUGACAGAGGACUCAGCUGUUCGCCUUCAGCAGCCAGCGCACUGUUAGCAUCUGGAGACUGAGUAAUUCAGUUCUGAGAGGAAAAUCUCGGUGACCCAUCACAGCUCCAUUUGCUUUCCUCACUUCUCCCUUCCCUUUCCUUCCCUUCUCUUCUUUUCCCAUGACCCAGAGCCCUUACAUUCCUUUGAUCUCCUUUCCCCAGUGUCCUGGUUCUUAUUCCCUUUGGUUUAUGAGACAAGUUUGUAAAAACUCCAUCCCAUCUAGCUCCACUAGGAUGGGGUAAGCCUACAAGACAAUCAACCUUUCACAGUGAUAAUAUGUAAUUUCUCUUAGCAGAUCUGCAGUAAAUAUUCAAAAGAAAAUUAUUCUUUUUACAAGACUGUUCACUCUCACAACUCCUAUUCGACAUAAUAUUAGAAGUCCUAGCCAGAGCAAUCAGGCAAGAGAAGGAAAU